RNAcentral lists this ribosomal RNA (253 nucleotides) under uncultured bacterium. RNAcentral's name for it is "partial 16S ribosomal RNA". It matches the Rfam family "Bacterial small subunit ribosomal RNA", at positions 524 to 776 of the family's 1533-position model. The record is from RNAcentral.
UACAGAGGUCGCAAGCGUUGUUCGGAUUCAUUGGGCGUAAAGGGUGCGUAGGCGGCGCGGUAAGUCGGGUGUGAAAUUUCGAGGCUUAACUUCGAAACUGCAUUCGAUACUGCCGUGCUUGAGGACUGGAGAGGAGAGUGGAAUUUACGGUGUAGCGGUGAAAUGCGUAGAUAUCGUAAGGAACACCAGUGGCGAAGGCGGGUCUCUGGACAGUUACUGACGCUGAGGCGCGAAAGCGAGGGGAGCAAACGGG